This 1145-nucleotide long non-coding RNA is filed under the name Canis lupus familiaris (dog). RNAcentral describes it as "lncRNA (ENSCAFG00000052335.1)". The record is from RNAcentral. Lineage: Eukaryota; Metazoa; Chordata; Mammalia; Carnivora; Canidae.
CACAGAGAGAGGCAGAAGGAGGGGCAGGCUCCAUGCAGGGAGCCCGAUGUGGGACUCGAUCCCGGGACCUUGGGAUCACACCCUGAGCCAAAGGCAGAUGCUCAACCACUGAGCCACUCAGGCAUCCUGAAAUUCCAAAAAUUCUUAACAUGAUGACAACAUGGUGAGAAAGAGUAUCACUGCUUCCAAUAGCUAGUGUAAAAAGACUACUGUGUUUUAAAAAAUUGUGUGGUUAUUUAAAUAUUAUAUAUGCAAUUUGAAGUGCUUGUAUAUUAAAUACCACAGCUUGCUGCUCAUACUAGCAUUGAGUUUAGGGACAUAUUAGAAAUGAAAUAGUGCUAUGUCUGGUUUCAGAGCAAAAGGAGCUCAGGUGACUAUAGAUUAUGAUGGUGAAUAUGGCUUUAAUUACAAACACGAGAAGACUCAUUGAAGACUAGAUAGCAGGACAGAUGUGAUGUAAAAAAAGUCAAAUCAAACAUUUUGGUGUUGAAGGGCUAUGUUCGAAAUACUUUAGUCCAUAAUCCAUCUCUUAUGAUGGGCUGAUUAAUUAAUGAUCUCCCUGCCCCAGGAUUCACAUUCUUUGGAAAUGACUUUUAUUAAAUUUCAAUAAAUUGUGAGUCCCAAUGGUAUUUUAUUUUCCAAACAUGGAUGAGUUCAUCUACACCUUUAGGUCACUUGGUCAGAAUGCUCAAGAAAACUACGGAUCACGUUCACAUUCCAUAUUCUUAGUUAUCCUCAUUGCUGCUGCUGUGUUACCUGGUCUCCAUAUGGCAUGGUCCAAGAACAGGAGGAGGGAAUGAGACAGAAGGGAGUUUGGCCCCAAUGCCAAACUCUGGGCUUCUGCAGCCAAUUCCAUCUAGCCUCAGGGACGUUGCCUGAUAGCCUGGGAUCUGAGGCUUUUCCCCAGAAUGACUGAUGAGGAGUACUGGACAGUGAAACAUUUUGUCACAAGAAAGUGCUGGACAGCCAUUUCAUGAUUAAGGUCAACUCUAAGGAUCUAACAUCCUACCUAUUCCCAUCAGUUUGCUGGAUGUCUGGUAUUUUGCUUUCCUUAGAGAGGAAGGUCUGAUCACUUAACACUGUUACAGAAAGAGUCAAGUGAAAUGAAAGCUGGGUCUUGAUGGAUGAGUAAGAAGUCACUGGGG